GAUGAACGCUGGCGGCGUGCCUAAUACAUGCAAGUCGAGCGAACAGACGAGGAGCUUGCUCCUCUGACGUUAGCGGCGGACGGGUGAGUAACACGUGGAUAACCUACCUAUAAGACUGGGAUAACUUCGGGAAACCGGAGCUAAUACCGGAUAAUAUAUUGAACCGCAUGGUUCAAUAGUGAAAGACGGUUUUGCUGUCACUUAUAGAUGGAUCCGCGCCGCAUUAGCUAGUUGGUAAGGUAACGGCUUACCAAGGCAACGAUGCGUAGCCGACCUGAGAGGGUGAACGGCCACACUGGAACUGAGACACGGUCCAGACUCCUACGGGAGGCAGCAGUAGGGAAUCUUCCGCAAUGGGCGAAUGCCUGACGGAGCGACGCCGCGUGAGUGAUGAAGGUCUUCGGAUCGUAAAACUCUGUUAUUAGGGAAGAACAAAUGUGUAAGUAACUAUGCACGUCUUGACGGUACCUAAUCAGAAAGCCACGGCUAACUACGUG
This 497-nucleotide ribosomal RNA is filed under the name uncultured bacterium. Its description in RNAcentral is "partial 16S ribosomal RNA". It matches the Rfam family "Bacterial small subunit ribosomal RNA", at positions 28 to 507 of the family's 1533-position model. The record is from RNAcentral.